GCCGGGCGCGGUGGCGCGAGCCUGUAAUCCAGCUACUCCGGAGGCUGAGGCUGGCGGAUCGCUUGAGCUCAGGAGUUCUGGGCUGCAGUGGGCUAUGCCGAUCGGGUGUCCGCACUAAGUUUGGCAUCAAUAUGGUGAUCCCCGGGGAGCCGAGGGCCACCAGGUUGCCUAAGGAGGGGUGAACCGGCCCAGGUCGGAGAUGGAGCAGGUCAAAACUCCCGUGCCGAUCAAUUAUAAAGUUUGAUUUAAUUUUUUAGGUUGAUGUUCCAUGUUAAUAUUUU
RNAcentral lists this signal recognition particle RNA (281 nucleotides) under Ophiophagus hannah (king cobra). Its description in RNAcentral is "Metazoan signal recognition particle RNA". It matches the Rfam family "Metazoan signal recognition particle RNA". Rfam says of the family: The signal recognition particle (SRP) is a universally conserved ribonucleoprotein. It is involved in the co-translational targeting of proteins to membranes. The eukaryotic SRP consists of a 300-nucleotide 7S RNA and six proteins: SRPs 72, 68, 54, 19, 14, and 9. Lineage: Eukaryota; Metazoa; Chordata; Lepidosauria; Squamata; Elapidae. The record is from Rfam by way of RNAcentral.